RNAcentral lists this long non-coding RNA (603 nucleotides) under Bos taurus (domestic cattle). RNAcentral describes it as "long non-coding RNA NONBTAT001660". The record is from RNAcentral. Lineage: Eukaryota; Metazoa; Chordata; Mammalia; Artiodactyla; Bovidae.
GUGGGGGAUGGGAAAGGACGAGUUAUCCGGCCUUUUUUUUAACCACCAAUGAAAUAAAUUUUAAAAUGGUUUAUUCAAACAGGAUAUUUCACCUGAACAUCUAAUAAUGUUCCUUUCUUGUAUGUAUGUUGAUAUUAUAUUUUUCCGCAUGAUCUCAUAUUAAUCUAUUGUCACAAAGUCUUCCAUGAACCAGUCUAAUUGUAGGAAGCUCAGUCAGUCCCUGAGGCCCAGUGGAGUCCUUUUUAAUCGUAGGAGCUGCUGAAUUUUAUUUUCUGACUGAGUGUGACCAUUACGAAUUGCUAGGGUUUUCUCUGUGUUGGUGGUGACUUCCUAUAAAUAACAACAAAAUGAUUACUUGGAAAUCCUUAAAUAGAGCUAUGUUGCAAGUCUACAGUUAAAGCCUUUAUUUAUAAAUUUUUGUUUAAAGUGGAUGUGACCAAAAUGCUAAUCUAGAGCAACAUUUAACCUACUGGCUUGGUGAACCCUGCUAUGUAAUCAAUUUCACUCUUAUAAUUGGAGUAACUAUUUUGGCAGAAUGGAGGAGGGUUCACUUGUAGCUUAGGGGUAUCUUUGGUUUUUUUGUUUGUUCCAGUUUUUCUUUUA